UGGUACUGAGACACGGACCAGACUCCUACGGGAGGCAGCAGUAAGGAAUAUUGGUCAAUGGACGCAAGUCUGAACCAGCCAUGCCGCGUGCAGGAAGACCGCCCUAUGGGUUGUAAACUGCUUUUGUACGGGAAGAACUACAUUUACGUGUAAAUGUUUGACGGUACCGUAAGAAUAAGGAUCGGCUAACUCCGUGCCAGCAGCCGCGGUAAUACGGAGGAUCC
RNAcentral lists this ribosomal RNA (224 nucleotides) under uncultured bacterium. RNAcentral describes it as "partial 16S ribosomal RNA". It matches the Rfam family "Bacterial small subunit ribosomal RNA", at positions 314 to 535 of the family's 1533-position model. The record is from RNAcentral.